UUACAUAAACUUCAUAUUAGAAAUAGUUUAGGAAUUCAGCUACUAUACUCUUAUAAUAAGUACAAUCGCAUUCGUACUUAUAAGUCGUUUUUGAUGAUAGAGUUUCCGAAUCAACGAUUCAUACCGUUAAAUUUUUUAGAGCAUUUGAAACUUGUAAAAAUUAAAUUUUAUAAAUUUUUGACAUCAUUUAACUUACAAUUAAAAAAUCUCAAAAUUGAUUAUUUUUAACGGCCGAUAUGAGAUAUUUGUUAGUUUAACGGUGUAAAAGAAUAGAAAUCGGAUGAAUUUUUGAUAGCAAAUUUUAUUUACUAUCUAAAUAAAGAUUAAUAGUUGCGAUCUUGAAUUGAAGUAUUCGAUUUUCUAUUUUUAAGAAAUUAUUCGAUUUUGACCAUUCAUUUUAUAUCCGCUUAAUAAACUUUAUAAUAAUUUUAAAAAAAUUACGAAAUUUAUUUUCUCGAAGUCUUAGAUGCUUUAGAUUUAAUGAUAUGCAUCAUCAAUUCGGAAACUGCAUAAUCGAAAAUAACUUAUGAGUAGAAAAGAUUCUAUACUUAUAAGAGUAGUAGAGUAGUUUUCCUUAUAGUUUAGAUAUAGUCUUAACAUUAUUAUUUAUC
This 611-nucleotide long non-coding RNA is filed under the name Ananas comosus (pineapple). Its description in RNAcentral is "long non-coding RNA (ACOM_LNC012840)". The record is from RNAcentral. Lineage: Eukaryota; Viridiplantae; Streptophyta; Magnoliopsida; Poales; Bromeliaceae.